This 232-nucleotide unclassified non-coding RNA is filed under the name Listeria grayi. RNAcentral describes it as "16S-23S ribosomal RNA intergenic spacer". Lineage: Bacteria; Bacillati; Bacillota; Bacilli; Caryophanales; Listeriaceae. The record is from RNAcentral.
AGGAAUAGGAAACUUGCGUUUUUCAUUCUUCUUUUGUUCAGUUUUGAGAGGUUUUUUUCUCUCUAAGAAAAUCGUUCUUUGAAAACUAGAUAAGAAAGUUAGUAAAGUUAUCACAAGUGAAAACUUGUAAAAAGAAGUAACCGAGAAUCAUCUGAAAGUGAAACUUUCCGCUUUGGAAGUGGUCAUCGCUGACCGCAGAAGAAGCAAAAAGACCUUACGCAAUCGCGUAAAU